RNAcentral lists this ribosomal RNA (966 nucleotides) under Homaloderodes germaini. Its description in RNAcentral is "eukaryotic LSU rRNA". It matches the Rfam family "Eukaryotic large subunit ribosomal RNA", at positions 118 to 779 of the family's 3401-position model. Lineage: Eukaryota; Metazoa; Arthropoda; Insecta; Coleoptera; Carabidae. The record is from RNAcentral.
AGCCCGUAAUCGGAAACGAUUACUGGGCAAUGUAGUGUUUGGGAGAGCCCGUUUAACCCAAGUAAUAUUAGCGAGUCCAAGUCCUUCUUGAAGGGGGCCAAUCACCCAUAGAGGGUGCCAGGCCCGUGGUGACCGUUAAUUUAUUUGGGUGGGUUUCUCCUUAAAGUCGGGUUGCUUGARAGUGCAGCUCUAAGUGGGUGGUAAACUCCAUCUAAGGCUAAAUAUAACCACGAGACCGAUAGCGAACAAGUMCCGUGAGGGAAAGUUGAAAAGAACUUUGAAGAGAGAGUUCAAGAGUACGUGAAACCGUUUAGGGGUAAACCUGAGAAACCCGAAAGUUCGAUCGGAGAGAUUCAAUUACUUUAACCAAUAGUAAACAAUGAAUAUUUGUGACUUUUAUUAAUUUUUACAAUUUCGAUUGUAAUAUUUUUAUUUGCACAUUUGUUUGUUGUUAUUAUUAUCGGAGGUAUGCACUUCUCUCCUAGUAGGACGUCGCGACCCGUUAAGCAGCUUAUAAAUGCCAUCUACGGCUUAUAAUGGUGACCGUGGUUUGUUUGUCUUAAUAAACUUAUAAACCCGGACUUGUAAUGUUCUGAUGGCUGCUUGACGGUAGUAUAUACAGGUUAAUGGGACGUUGUUGUAAAAAUACAUCGUACGUUAUUGGUUAUAUGACAAGUAUCUAUAUGUUAUGGAAAUUUAGACUUUGUGCUGAUUCUAUAUAUAUAAUAUUGUUGGUUAUAUAAUCCUCUGACUGUCCCCGUUACCAGUCGGCGACGCUUCAGUUUUGGGUAAUUUCAGGACCCGUCUUGAAACACGGACCAAGGAGUCUAGCAUGUGCGCAAGUCAUUGGGCUAAAAAAACCUAAAGGCAUAAUGAAAGUAAAUAUUUACCUAGUGUAAAUAAAGGGAAGAUUAGUAGAAUAUUUUAUAAAAACAUACUACGCAUUCCCGGGGCGUCGCRAAACGU